AGCUUGUUGAGGUGUAAUAACAAGUACCUCCUGCCCGGUGCGCUUGUGGUGUAAACGGCCGCGGUACUCUGACCGUGCAAAGGUAGCAUAAUCAUUUGCCCUUUUAUUGGGGGCUGGAAUGAAUGGAAUGACGUGGCUCUAGCUGUCUCUUUCUUUUUUUGGAAAUUGCUGUUUUUGUGAAGAAGCAAAAAUUUUAAAAAGGGACAAGAAGACCCUAUUAAGCUUUACCUUAAAAUUGUUAGCAAGGUGUUUUUGUAAAUCAUACAGCUGUUUCAUUUAGGGGUUUGGUUGGGGUGACCAAAGAAGAAAAAAUCUUCUUGUGUUUUUUAGACUGUGUGUCUAUUGUGUUGGGCCAGUAAUUUCUGACAGUAAGAACAAGUUACUAUAGGGAUAACAGCGUAAUUUUUUCAGAGAGUUCAUAUCAAAGAAAAAGAUUGCGACCUCGAUGUUGACUUGUUGUGUCCUUAUAUUAUCGUGCUUAUUGGGUAUUGGCACAGGUGUAGCAGCUGAAAGGGUUGGUCUGUUCGACCAUUAAAACAAC
This 541-nucleotide ribosomal RNA is filed under the name Evelineus sp. Pili_CB136_CB136_18_01. RNAcentral's name for it is "partial 16S ribosomal RNA". It matches the Rfam family "Bacterial large subunit ribosomal RNA", at positions 1817 to 2597 of the family's 2925-position model. The record is from RNAcentral. Lineage: Eukaryota; Metazoa; Nemertea; Pilidiophora; Heteronemertea; Lineidae.